Molecule: long non-coding RNA, 339 nt
Filed under: Elaeis guineensis (African oil palm)
Lineage: Eukaryota; Viridiplantae; Streptophyta; Magnoliopsida; Arecales; Arecaceae
Description: long non-coding RNA (EGUI_LNC057507)
Source: RNAcentral
CCUUUUACGAACUUCGACUGGGGUUAUUUUAUACCCAACAUCAGUCCCCCUACUUUUGAGUUCGGAUUCAGAAUGAAGGAAGUACAGAUAAAUUUUUACAGUCGAAGUUAUCCUCCUCGAUUUUUGUACUCGAUUGUUUCUAGAUAUUUUGGCGUUUGACGUGUUGGUGUUGGAGCCUUUUAAAAUGAGGUGAUCCGAAAAGAUUUUUUCAGAAUUUUUGCUGGAGCAUUGCUCCAGGUACGGUGCAAUAAUGAUUCUGUCAGUUGUCAGCCACCUUUAGCCGCCUGCCACGAUGAGUGGGCCACGUGGUGGUUAUAGAUCGGCCAGAGAAAAUCUACG